CCUACGGGAGGCAGCAGUGAGGAAUAUUGGUCAAUGGGCGAGAGCCUGAACCAGCCAAGUCGCGUGAGGGAGUACUGCCCUAUGGGUUGUAAACCUCUUUUGUCGGGGAGCAAAAGCCGGACGUGUCCGGCUGUGAGAGUACCCGAAGGAAAAACAUCGGCUAACUCCGUGCCAGCAGCCGCGGUAAUAAGGAGGAUGCUAGCGUUAUCCGGAUUUAUUGGGGUUAAAGGGGGCGCAGGCGGAUUUUUAAGUCAGCGGGAAAAUCGUGGGGCUCAACCCCGUCCAGCCGUUGAAAGUGGGGUUCUAGAGUGUGCGAGAGGUAUGCGGAAUGCGUGGUGUAGCGGUGAAAUGCAUAGAUAUCACGAAGAACCCCGAUUGCGAAGGCAGCUUACUAAACUGUGACUGACAUUGAUGCUCGAAAGUGUGGGUAUCAAACAGGAUUAGAUACCCUUGUAGUC
This 458-nucleotide ribosomal RNA is filed under the name uncultured bacterium. Its description in RNAcentral is "partial 16S ribosomal RNA". It matches the Rfam family "Bacterial small subunit ribosomal RNA", at positions 338 to 795 of the family's 1533-position model. The record is from RNAcentral.